UUUACAAACCUUACCGAAUGCAAUUGGAGGGCAAGUCUGGUGCCAGCAGCCGCGGUAAUUCCAGCUCCAAUAGCGUAUAUUAAAGUUGUUGCAGUUAAAAAGCUCGUAGUUGAAGUUCUGAUCGUUCAGGUCCUCAGCCUUAGGCGGGGAUUCUGACGGUCAUCCGCUUGCAAACAUAUGUUCGAUCUUCACCGGUUGGCUAUGUGAGUAAGCAAUUUACCUUGAGAAAAACAGAGUGUUCCAGGCAGGUUUGUCCGGAAUGCAUUAGCAUGGAAUAAUAGAACAUGACUGAAGUCUAUUUAUUGGUUUAAGGCUUUAGUAAUGAUUAAUAGGAACAGUCGGGGGCAUUCGUACUCAGCAGUCAGAGGUGAAAUUCUAAGAUUUGCUGAAGACGAACUAAUGCGAAAGCAUUUGCCAAGGAUGUUUUCAUUAAUCAAGAACGAAAGUUAGGGGAUCAAAGACGAUCAGAUACCGUCCUAGUCUUAACUAUAAACGAUGCCGACUCGGAUUCAGAUGAAUCAAAAAGUUCAUUUGGGACCGUAGGAGAAAUCAAAGUCUUUGGGUUCUGGGGGGAGUAUGGUCGCAAGGCUGAAACUUAAAGGAAUUGACGGUUUUGCACCACCAUGGAGUGGAGUCUGCGGCUUAAUUUGACUCAACACUGGGAAACUCAUCAGGGCAAGAAGAUUUUAGGAUUGACAGAUUGAGAGUUCUUUCUUGAUUGGUCUAGUGGUGGUGCAUGGCCGUUCUUAGUUGGUGGAGUGAUUUGUCUGGUUAGUUCCGUUAACGAACGAGACCUUAACCUGCUAACUAGUGCUUCGAUCUCUAAUCGAAGGCACUUCUUAGAGGGACUAUGUGUGGUAAUCACACGGAAGUUUGAGGCAAUAACAGGUCUGUGAUGCCCUUAGAUGUCCUGAGCUGCACGCGUACUACAAUGGCACUUUCAACAAGUCUUUCCUGAUCCGAAAGGAUUUGGGUAAUCUUUUUAGGGAGUGCCGUGCUUGGGAUAGAUCUUUGUAAUUGUGGAUCUUGAACUAGGAAUUCCUAGUAAGCGCGAGUCAUCAUCUCGUGCUGAUUACGUCCCUGCAAAAUGUACACACCGCCCGUCGCUUUUACCGAUUGAGUGUUCAGGUGAGUCUUCUUGAUAGUUUUUCUAAAAAUUAAACAAACCUUAGCACUUAGAGGAAAAAGAAGUCGUAACAAGGUUUCCGUAGGU
Molecule: ribosomal RNA, 1213 nt
Filed under: metagenome
Description: SSU rRNA
Rfam family: Eukaryotic small subunit ribosomal RNA
Source: RNAcentral